RNAcentral lists this transfer RNA (77 nucleotides) under Candidatus Saccharimonadota bacterium. RNAcentral describes it as "tRNA-Arg". It matches the Rfam family "tRNA". Rfam says of the family: Transfer RNA (tRNA) molecules are approximately 80 nucleotides in length. Their secondary structure includes four short double-helical elements and three loops (D, anti-codon, and T loops). Further hydrogen bonds mediate the characteristic L-shaped molecular structure. tRNAs have two regions of fundamental functional importance: the anti-codon, which is responsible for specific mRNA codon recognition, and the 3' end, to which the tRNAs corresponding amino acid is attached (by aminoacyl-tRNA synthetases). tRNAs cope with the degeneracy of the genetic code in two manners: having more than one tRNA (with a specific anti-codon) for a particular amino acid; and 'wobble' base-pairing, i.e. permitting non-standard base-pairing at the 3rd anti-codon position. Lineage: Bacteria; Candidatus Saccharimonadota. The record is from RNAcentral. RNAcentral also lists the same sequence under 3 other names.
GCACCCGUAGCUCAGCGGAUUAGAGCAUCUGUCUUCGGAACAGAGGGUCGGGGGUUCGAAUCCCUCCGGGUGUACCA